UGUGGGAGCGGGCUUGCUCGCGAUAGGAUCGCUGCGGCUUUUCAGAUGAACCGAAUCGCCAGCAUCGCGGGCAAGCCCGCUCCCACA
This 87-nucleotide unclassified non-coding RNA is filed under the name Pseudomonas fragi. Lineage: Bacteria; Pseudomonadati; Pseudomonadota; Gammaproteobacteria; Pseudomonadales; Pseudomonadaceae. The record is from RNAcentral.